Molecule: long non-coding RNA, 345 nt
Filed under: Brassica napus (rape)
Lineage: Eukaryota; Viridiplantae; Streptophyta; Magnoliopsida; Brassicales; Brassicaceae
Description: long non-coding RNA (BNAP_LNC000471)
Source: RNAcentral
AUCCGGAACCAAAUAAUCAACCCGUACCAAAUUGAAAAAAUGAAACCAAACUUGAACCAAAAUUUAUAAAUAACCGAACAUAUCAUAUAUCUCUAGAACCAAGAUAAAUAGAUACCUGAAUUUUAAAAAUACAAAUUAUAUAUCUACAAAUAUUAAUUAUAUGUAAUUUCUAAAUAACCAAAUAUCUUAAAUAUACUAUUUAUAAGCUGAAUUAUCCAAUAAAAACAAAUUACUCAAACAUUUUUUCAAACAUUAAAAAAAUAUCUUUAAUAAGUCCUCAACAUUCAGUCUAAUUUUCUACUAAAAAGAACCAAAACACCAAUAAGUGAUAUCCAAAGUCAAACC